Molecule: ribosomal RNA, 492 nt
Filed under: uncultured bacterium
Lineage: Bacteria
Description: partial 16S ribosomal RNA
Rfam family: Bacterial small subunit ribosomal RNA
Source: RNAcentral
AGUGAACGCUGGCGGUAGGCCUAACACAUGCAAGUCGAACGGCAGCACAGUAAGAGCUUGCUCUUACGGGUGGCGAGUGGCGGACGGGUGAGGAAUACAUCGGAAUCUACUUUUUCGUGGGGGAUAACGUAGGGACACUUACGCUAAUACCGCAUACGACCUACGGGUGAAAGCAGGGGAUCUUCGGACCUUGCGCGAUUGAAUGAGCCGAUGUCGGAUUAGCUAGUUGGCGGGGUAAAGGCCCACCAAGGCGACGAUCCGUAGCUGGUCUGAGAGGAUGAUCAGCCACACUGGAACUGAGACACGGUCCAGACUCCUACGGGAGGCAGCAGUGGGGAAUAUUGGACAAUGGGCGCAAGCCUGAUCCAGCCAUACCGCGUGGGUGAAGAAGGCCUUCGGGUUGUAAAGCCCUUUUGUUGGGAAAGAAAAGAAGCAGGUGAAUACCCCGCUGUUCUGACGGUACCCAAAGAAUAAGCAACGGCUAACUUCGUG